RNAcentral lists this ribosomal RNA (411 nucleotides) under uncultured Gammaproteobacteria bacterium. RNAcentral's name for it is "bacterial SSU rRNA". It matches the Rfam family "Bacterial small subunit ribosomal RNA", at positions 35 to 456 of the family's 1533-position model. The record is from RNAcentral. Lineage: Bacteria; Pseudomonadati; Pseudomonadota; Gammaproteobacteria.
GCUGGCGGCAUGCUUAACACAUGCAAGUCGAACGGUAACAGCGGGAGCUUGCUCCCGGCUGACGAGUGGCGGACGGGUGAGUAAUGCAUAGGAAUCUGCCCAGUAGUGGGGGACAACCUGGGGAAACUCAGGCUAAUACCGCAUACGCCCUACGGGGGAAAGGCUUCGGCCGCUAUUGGAUGAGCCUAUGUCUGAUUAGCUUGUUGGUAGGGUAACGGCCUACCAAGGCGACGAUCAGUAGCUGGUCUGAGAGGACGAUCAGCCACACUGGGACUGAGACACGGCCCAGACUCCUACGGGAGGCAGCAGUGGGGAAUAUUGCACAAUGGGCGAAAGCCUGAUGCAGCAAUGCCGCGUGUGUGAAGAAGGCCUGCGGGUUGUAAAGCACUUUCAGUGGGGAGGAUUAUGACG